UAGGGAAUCUUCCGCAAUGGGCGAAAGCCUGACGGAGCAACGCCGCGUGAGUGAUGAAGGUCUUCGGAUCGUAAAACUCUGUUAUUAGGGAAGAACAAAUGUGUAAGUAACUAUGCACGUCUUGACGGUACCUAAUCAGAAAGCCACGGCUAACUACGUGCCAGCAGCCGCGGUAAUACGUAGGUGGCAAGCGUUAUCCGGAAUUAUUGGGCGUAAAGCGCGCGUAGGCGGUUUUUUAAGUCUGAUGUGAAAGCCCACGGCUCAACCGUGGAGGGUCAUUGGAAACUGGAGAACUUGAGUGCGGAAGAGGAAAGUGGAAUUCCAUGUGUAGCGGUGAAAUGCGCAGAGAUAUGGAGGAACACCAGUGGCGAAGGCGACUUUCUGGUCUGUAACUGACGCUGAUGUGCGAAAGCGUGGGGAUCAAACAGG
RNAcentral lists this ribosomal RNA (429 nucleotides) under Actinomycetes bacterium. Its description in RNAcentral is "Actinobacteria bacterium partial 16S ribosomal RNA". It matches the Rfam family "Bacterial small subunit ribosomal RNA", at positions 355 to 776 of the family's 1533-position model. The record is from RNAcentral. Lineage: Bacteria; Bacillati; Actinomycetota; Actinomycetes.